UGGCUGAUGUAUACCUGCAGGGAAUGGAAAACAGAACUUUAAGGUCUUUGAAGGUAACACCACCAGACUGCUGGUUCAGUUCCAGGGAUGGAACCUCAUGAGUAGAAUCCUUCACAGAAUAUAUCAAGUCUGCUGACAGCAACAUCAAGUUUGAAAAGGAGACUGUCAAGUCUGUAUGAACUGUGCUGGACAGAAACCUCAACAUUUUCUUUGCCUGAAACCUACAAACACAGACCAAUAACAGCUGUUUGGCUUCCAUUAGCCACUGGAACGUAAGCUGGAGGUUUGGUGAAACAGAUUUGGUAAACCAGCAUUUUCCUCUCCUAUGUAGCUGGAAUGUCUGUAAAACUUAAAAGAAUUCUCUCCAAACACAACAUACCAGUGCAGCUCCAACCCAGCAAUAUUCUUAGACAAAACACAGUCUGUCCUGAGGAUGAAGCAAUAAAUAGAGCAACGUUCUAUGUGCAGCUCAAUGCAGCGAGGAGUGGACAGACCUGUAUUAAGGACAGACUAAACAACUGUUCCAUAAAUAAGAACAUCAGCAGCUCACCUUUAUCUGACAGAUAAAGGACUCAGGGAUGUCCACAUUCUGGACAGAGAAAACAGUUGGUUUGAUAGACGAAUGUUAAACUACAACAUCCAUUUCUCAACAGGGAUGGUGGUUAAUGGCGCCACUUACCAGCUACAUACAAGGUAGUCCUGAGAGUCCUCCCCAGGCAGUUUCACUGCUAUCCACACCACGAGUCAGUCAGAAGUAAGGAGGGAGACGGUUGGAUCUAUAAUAACCCUCUGUGGAAGUCGACCUGACAUCAGAACACUGUUUCCUCAUGGACGAUAACGGAGAUGGCGCUCCCCUCGCUGAAGACGGAGGUCAAAGAAACGGAGCAGAGUCCUCCUCAGACCUUCAGACUCACUGACUAACAGGAAACUAGCAAGGUGCCAAAGGGAUCUCCACUGUUUGAACCAAGACGGUUUGGGACUCUUGGGACAGCAGUUCAGCAUUUUUAUAUACAGUUAAUAGUAUUACUAUUCAAAGUAGAGUAUUUCUAUUUUUCACCUUGCCAAGGCCUUUUUUUGCACAUGCACAGUAACGACGUCUGCCACCUACUUUGUAUUUUUUUUUUAACGAUCAGUCCGUUCUCUCAGACAUCGUUUGGUUGUGAGCUUUUAGUCUUUUAGUCACGCAGCGUUAGAAUGGAUCCAGUCUCCUGUAACACAUUAUACUGUAGCUGUAAACGAGUCUGUUUAUAAAGCACUUUUACCAUAGAAAUAAAGCUACUAUUUUAUAUCUAUGGCUUUUAACAAUCAGGGUGGUCUCUCAGAGCUUUACAGGAGGUAAGGUCACCUAACCAGAUUUAAACUAUUAGAAAUCCAGAGGUAAACAGAUGUACUACAUUAGAUGAUGUGUUACUAUAUAAUAUUAAAUGGUAUAUUACAGCAAGCUACUAGAAAGUAAAGGUCCUGAUUGUUUUGUCUGCACUAUGAAUGUAUUUAGGCACAUUUUAAUAGUACCGUAUGCUACUUUCCCAUCUUGUACUGUUUGCUACUACACAUGCUUACUGUGUUGUACCUUUUAUUUUGUCUACAAUAUGUCGCUCACUGAGUGAAACACCUCUGCCUGACAGAUGAUUUCCAUUACUACCUCUCUCAUUUGACUAUCCAGGCCAUUAUACGUGUUCUCUUCUGAAAGAAAAACCGUCGGUGUGUUUGUGGCUGAAUGCUCCUGGGUGCUCUAAUCUGUUUUCUAUCUGUGCCCCCUAAGAUAACACUUGUGUAAUUAGGCAGCCCCUGCACACCCAGCCCGAGGCCCCUGAAGUUAAUACGUAUCUUUAGGUGGCCCGUGGGGAUGAAUAUAGAUGAGGCUGCUUGCAGAAACACACAACCAUGUUCUUACAUCUGGGGGUCGCUGGAAGGUUGCUUCUGUGAAGAUGAGAGGACGAUCUACCAGAAUAACAAUCACAGGGAACUGGGGUAACCGGCCUGGUGGAUGGAAGAGGUAAUAUACGGCUUCAUAUUACUCACAUUUUACAGUCAACGGCCAACUUUAACAGAUCUAAACGAGCACCCCAACGAUUUUUUUUGUUUAUAAAAGGAUAUGAGCAUAAACUCCUACCUGCUUCCUUCAAUUUAAUUCUUAAAUGUGUUGUUGUGUUUUGUACUUUUAGCCAGGUGGAUUUACCAGAUGCCAUUUUGUAGCAUCCACCAUGACGGUCUAAUUACACCACAUUACAGCACCAUAGAUGGUCUGUGGAACAUGGACGGAGCCAACAAGAUGUGGAAAAAUGCUUCAAAACUUUAAAUUUGGUAGUUUACUAUCUGACCCAGAACUCAAGGUCACUACACAAACACUUAUUGUAGUGAAUCACAAUGUAGCCCCACCUUAACCCUUUGAUGCACAACAUGAGGCAAAAGUGACCAAUAUUCAAUGGAAAAUGGGUAUCUGUUGAGCAUUAAAGGGUUAAAGCACACCCUGCUUUAUGGUCCAGUUGACUCUAAAUGAUACCACCCAUCCAUCUAUAAUCCAUACAUCGUUUAAUCCUGUGUAGGGUUGCAGGGGGGCUGGACUCUAAAUGGUACCAUAAUUUAUUAAAUAAACAUCAUGCAUAUUGAAGGAGUCUCCAAACUACCAGUUGAGACCAUAAACUGACCGGGAAAAUGUUUGCUGAGGUGACAAAUCAUAAUUUUAACACUGAUUUCCCUUUUCAAACCCAAAGGUGACAUCCAUCUUUUACAGAAUGUAUGUGCGGUACAGAACAAAUUGCUUUUCAUGACUGUUUUCUGAUACUGGCCUAACAUGAAACUAACAAACAGCUAAACACACAUAAGGAUAUGGACUCACUGAAGUAGAUGGUGAUUGUGGAUAAACAAAGGACUGUACAUUAAUAAAGACCUUCUACCUUUUUUAAAUUAAA
Molecule: long non-coding RNA, 2912 nt
Organism: Amphiprion ocellaris (clown anemonefish)
Lineage: Eukaryota; Metazoa; Chordata; Actinopteri; Pomacentridae
Exons: 2
Source: RefSeq, a predicted model, not a curated record